RNAcentral lists this ribosomal RNA (116 nucleotides) under Gallus gallus (chicken). Its description in RNAcentral is "partial 12S ribosomal RNA". Lineage: Eukaryota; Metazoa; Chordata; Aves; Galliformes; Phasianidae. The record is from RNAcentral.
CUAUAUACCGCCGUCGCCAGCCCACCUCUAAUGAAAGAACAACAGUGAGCUCAAUAGCCCCUCGCUAAUAAGACAGGUCAAGGUAUAGCCUAUGGGGUGGAAGAAAUGGGCUACAU